RNAcentral lists this ribosomal RNA (427 nucleotides) under uncultured bacterium. Its description in RNAcentral is "partial 16S ribosomal RNA". It matches the Rfam family "Bacterial small subunit ribosomal RNA", at positions 355 to 774 of the family's 1533-position model. The record is from RNAcentral.
UGGGGAAUAUUGCACAAUGGGCGCAAUCCUGAUGCAGCCAUGCCGCGUGUAUGAAGAAGGCCUUCGGGUUGUAAAGUACUUUCAGCGGGGAGGAAGGCGAUAAGGUUAAUAACCUUGUCGAUUGACGUUACCCGCAGAAGAAGCACCGGCUAACUCCGUGCCAGCAGCCGCGGUAAUACGGAGGGUGCAAGCGUUAAUCGGAAUUACUGGGCGUAAAGCGCACGCAGGCGGUCUGUCAAGUCGGAUGUGAAAUCCCCGGGCUCAACCUGGGAACUGCAUUCGAAACUGGCAGGCUAGAGUCUUGUAGAGGGGGGUAGAAUUCCAGGUGUAGCGGUGAAAUGCGUAGAGAUCUGGAGGAAUACCGGUGGCGAAGGCGGCCCCCUGGACAAAGACUGACGCUCAGGUGCGAAAGCGUGGGGAGCAAACA